UCCCUACGGGGUGCAGCAGGCGCGAAAACUGUGCAAUGCGCGAAAGCGCGACACAGGAAACCUGAGUGCCUUGACAAUGUCAAGGCUUUUCUUAAGCUAAAAAGCUCAAGGAAUAAGAGCUGGGUAAGACGGGUGCCAGCCGCCGCGGUAACACCCGCAGCUCGAGUGGUGGUCAUUAUUAUUGAGCCUAAAGCGUUCGUAGCCGGUUUCGUAAAUCUUCAGAUAAAUUCUCCCGCUCAACGGAAGAUCUUCUGAAGAGACUGCGAAACUAGGGACUGGGUGAGGUUGAAUGUACUUUUGGGGUAGGGGUAAAAUCCUGUAAUCCUGGAAGGACAACCAGUGGCGAAGGCGUUCAACUAGAACAGAUCCGACGGUGAGGAACGAAGGCUAGGGGAGCAAACCGGAUUAGAUACCCGGGUAGUCCUAGCUGUAAACACUGCCCACUUGGUGUUGCCUCUCCGUUGAGGGGGUGCAGUGCCGGAGCGAAGGUGUUAAGUGUGCCGCUUGGGGAGUAUGGUCGCAAGGCUGA
Molecule: ribosomal RNA, 529 nt
Filed under: uncultured archaeon
Lineage: Archaea
Description: bacterial SSU rRNA
Rfam family: Archaeal small subunit ribosomal RNA
Source: RNAcentral